UAAAGCUGGGAUUGGUGGGUGCAGCUC
RNAcentral lists this non-coding RNA (27 nucleotides) under Rattus norvegicus (Norway rat). The record is from RNAcentral. Lineage: Eukaryota; Metazoa; Chordata; Mammalia; Rodentia; Muridae.